UGAGGAAUAUUGGACAAUGGGCGAGUGCCUGAUCCAGCCAUGCCGCGUGCAGGAAGACCGCCCUAUGGGUCGUAAACUGCUUUUGUACGGGAAGAACAAGGGGCACUCGUGCCCUUCUGACGGUACCGUAAGAAUAAGGAUCGGCUAACUCCGUGCCAGCAGCCGCGGUAAUACGGAGGAUCCGAGCGUUAUCCGGAAUCAUUGGGUUUAAAGGGUCCGUAGGCGGGCCUUUAAGUCAGGGGUGAAAGGCCGCGGCUCAACCGCGGGACCGCCCUUGAUACUGGCGGCCUGGAGUCGUGGUGAAGUGGCCGGAAUAUGUGGUGUAGCGGUGAAAUGCAUAGAUAUCACAUGGAAUACCGAUUGCGAAGGCAGGCCACUAACCGCGUACUGACGCUGAUGGACGAAAGCGUGGGUAGCGAACA
RNAcentral lists this ribosomal RNA (422 nucleotides) under uncultured Pricia sp. Its description in RNAcentral is "bacterial SSU rRNA". It matches the Rfam family "Bacterial small subunit ribosomal RNA", at positions 355 to 774 of the family's 1533-position model. Lineage: Bacteria; Pseudomonadati; Bacteroidota; Flavobacteriia; Flavobacteriales; Flavobacteriaceae. The record is from RNAcentral.